UAAAAGAAACGUUUUUUUUUUUUCGUUCUAUGCUUAAAUAAUGAACUUACAGGGACCUUGGCGCCAAUGACCAUGUUUGAUGUGCAAAGAACUUUGACAGUUGUGCCAAGAAGAGAGAUUUCUAUGCUGUUUCAGCGUUGCGUAGAUGUCUGUCCUGUCCAUUUGUAUCCCAGAAACCGGAAUAUGUAGUUCUUCUCUUGGACUUGUAACCUUUACCUCUCUUUUUCAAUCCCUUACGCCCUUUAAGCAUGACGGACAUGACACCUAAGAAGCCGAAGAUUGAAACACCCCACAAAACCAUGAUCCAAAAUCUCAUGGAAGUGAAUGUUCCGUUUGACGUUUCAACUUGGGAGGAUUCCUGAGAACUAUUUUUGGGCAUUUCAUCGUGCCUAAAGGCCUGAACUUCGUCAACGCCUCCAAACUUCGUUGAAGUUGUAGUUUCAACGGCCAUUCUAGCUUCAGCAUUGGUUCUAAUUUCAUCAUCGGCUCUAGUUUCAGAAUUGGUUCUAGUUUCAGCAUCGGUUUUAGUAUCAGCAUUGGUUCUACUUUCAGCACUGGUUCUAGUUUCAGCAUUGGUUCUAGUUUCAGCACUGGCUCUUCUAGUUUCAGCAUUGGUUCUAGUUUCAGCACUGGCUC
Molecule: unclassified non-coding RNA, 636 nt
Filed under: Hevea brasiliensis (rubber tree)
Lineage: Eukaryota; Viridiplantae; Streptophyta; Magnoliopsida; Malpighiales; Euphorbiaceae
Source: RNAcentral